UGGGGAAUAUUGGACAAUGGGCGCAAGCCUGAUCCAGCCAUGCCGCGUGGAUGAAGAAGGCCCUAGGGUUGUAAAGUCCUUUCGACGGAGACGAUAAUGACGGUAUCCGUAGAAGAAGCCCCGGCUAAUUUCGUGCCAGCAGCCGCGGUAAUACGAAAGGGGCUAGCGUUGUUCGGAAUUACUGGGCGUAAAGCGCACGUAGGCGGUCGUGUAAGAUGGGGGUGAAAUCCCGGAGCUCAACUCCGGAACUGCCUUCAUGACUGCAUGGCUAGAGGAUGCGAGAGGUUGGCGGAAUUCCGAGUGUAGAGGUGAAAUUCGUAGAUAUUCGGAAGAACACCAGUGGCGAAGGCGGCCAACUGGCGCAUUUCUGACGCUGAGGUGCGAAAGCGUGGGGAGCAAACAGGAUUAGAUACCCCCGUAGUCCCUGAGCGGGCUGGCAAGGCGCAU
Molecule: ribosomal RNA, 447 nt
Filed under: uncultured bacterium
Lineage: Bacteria
Description: bacterial SSU rRNA
Rfam family: Bacterial small subunit ribosomal RNA
Source: RNAcentral